RNAcentral lists this long non-coding RNA (1264 nucleotides) under Phasianus colchicus (ring-necked pheasant). RNAcentral's name for it is "lncRNA (ENSPCLG00000013426.1)". Lineage: Eukaryota; Metazoa; Chordata; Aves; Galliformes; Phasianidae. The record is from RNAcentral.
UCGGAUCCGUGGGUUGGAACGUUGUAGUUAAGAGAGAAACCAAACCAGUCAGUCCUCCAAGCAUCACCUCCGGGUCCUCCAACCACCACCAACAGGAUCAGAGUUGGGAUAUGGGGGGAAUGGGGGGCUUUGGGGGGGGUCUCCAUGGUGACAGACCCACAGAACUGCAUACAGGAGUAGAACACAACAUAAUUUAUUACAGUGUGUGGGUUGGAACGGUGUAGGUAAGAGAGAAACCAAACCAGUCGGUCCUCCAAGCACCACCACCGGGUCCUCCAACCACCACCAACAGGAUCAGAAGUGGGAUAUGGGGGGCAAAUGGGGGGCUUUGGGGGGGGUCUCCAUGGUGACAGACCCACAGAACUCCAUAUAGAAUAGAACACAACAUCAUUUAUUACACUGCGUGCGUUGGAACGUUGUAGGUAAGGGAGAAACAAAACCAGUCAGUCCUCCAAGCAUCACCUCCAGGUCCUCCAACCACCACCAAUGGGAUCAGAAGUGGGAUAUGGAGGGGAAUGGGGGUUUUUUGGGGGGUCUCCAUGGUGACAGACCCACAGAACUCCAUAUAGAAUAGAACACAACAUCAUUUAUUACACUGCGUGGGUUGCAACAUUGUAGGUAAGAGAGAAACGAAACCAGUCGGUCCUCCAAGCAUCACCUCUGGGUCCUCCAACCACCACCAACGGGAUCAGAAGUGGGAUAUGGAGGGGAAAUGGGGGUUUUGGGAGGAAACUGGGGUCUUUUUGGGGUCGGUUGCCAUGACGACUAGCGGACGAGGUACUCCUUCCUCUUAUUGAGUCGUGCCUGACACAAAGCAAAGCCUCCCAACAACAGGUAGAGCCCAGCAGCCACGAAACAAUUGGUGCCCACGCGUUCGUACAGCCCAUAAAUUCGCUCCGGACCGCUGGGAUGGAUGGAAAGAAAGGUGUUAGAAAUCGAGGUUGCGGUGUUGGGACGUUGUUGUGGUGUUGUGUUGUUGUGGUGUUGUGUCGUGUUGUUGUUGUGGUGGUGCGUUGUGGUGUUGUGUCGUUGUGUCAUGGUGUUGUUGUGGCGUUGUGUUGUUGUGUCAUGAUACUGUUGUGGUGGUGUGUCGCUGUGUCAUGGUGCUGUGGUGUUGUGUCGUUGUGUCAUUGUGUCAUGAUGCUGUUGUGGUGUUGUGUUGUGUCAUGAUGUUGUGGUGGUGUGUUGUGGAGUUGUGUCGUUGUGUCAUGAUGUUGUGGUGUUGUGUCGUGCUCUUGUGUUGGUGCGUUGUGGUGUUGUGUCG